RNAcentral lists this unclassified non-coding RNA (378 nucleotides) under uncultured Micrococcales bacterium. RNAcentral's name for it is "contains 16S-23S intergenic spacer region". The record is from RNAcentral. Lineage: Bacteria; Bacillati; Actinomycetota; Actinomycetes; Micrococcales.
UCCGAGUUGACCCCGGCAGUCUCCCAUGAGUCCCCACCAUUACGUGCUGGCAACAUGGAACGAGGGUUGCGCUCGUUGCGGGACUUAACCCAACAUCUCACGACACGAGCUGACGACAACCAUGCACCACCUGUUCACGAGUGUCCAAAGAGUCCCCUAUUUCUAGGGUGUUCUCGCGUAUGUCAAGCCUUGGUAAGGUUCUUCGCGUUGCAUCGAAUUAAUCCGCAUGCUCCGCCGCUUGUGCGGGUCCCCGUCAAUUCCUUUGAGUUUUAGCCUUGCGGCCGUACUCCCCAGGCGGGGCACUUAAUGCGUUAGCUUCGGCACGGAAGGAGUCGACACCUCCCACACCUAGUGCCCAUCGUUUACGGCGUGGGCUAC